GAUGAACGCUCGCGGGAGGCCUAACACAUGCAAGCCGAGCGGUAGAGUUUCUUCGGAAACUUGAGAGCGGCGCACGGGUGCGUAACACGUGUGCAACCUACCUUUAUCUGGGGGAUAGCCUUUCGAAAGGAAGAUUAAUACCCCAUAAUAUAAUGAUUGGCAUCAAUUAUUAUUGAAAACUCCGGUGGAUAGAGAUGGGCACGCGCAAGAUUAGAUAGUUGGUGAGGUAACGGCUCACCAAGUCAAUGAUCUUUAGGGGUCCUGAGAGGGAGAUCCCCCACACUGGUACUGAGACACGGACCAGACUCCUACGGGAGGCAGCAGUGAGGAAUAUUGGACAAUGGGUGAGAGCCUGAUCCAGCCAUCCCGCGUGAAGGAGGACGGUCCUAUGGAUUGUAAACUUCUUUUGUACAGGGAUAAACCUACCCUCGUGAGGGUAGCUGAAGGUACUGUACGAAUAAGCACCGGCUAACUCCGUG
RNAcentral lists this ribosomal RNA (479 nucleotides) under uncultured bacterium. RNAcentral describes it as "partial 16S ribosomal RNA". It matches the Rfam family "Bacterial small subunit ribosomal RNA", at positions 28 to 507 of the family's 1533-position model. The record is from RNAcentral.